CAGAACGUAGCCAAGGCAGGAAAGCAUCUCCCUUACACCGAGAAAUCACCCGUGCAAAUCGGGUCGCUCUGA
RNAcentral lists this transfer RNA (72 nucleotides) under Xenodexia ctenolepis. RNAcentral's name for it is "tRNA-Val". It matches the Rfam family "tRNA". From Rfam's summary of the family: Transfer RNA (tRNA) molecules are approximately 80 nucleotides in length. Their secondary structure includes four short double-helical elements and three loops (D, anti-codon, and T loops). Lineage: Eukaryota; Metazoa; Chordata; Actinopteri; Cyprinodontiformes; Poeciliidae. The record is from RNAcentral.